This 20-nucleotide microRNA is filed under the name Gallus gallus (chicken). RNAcentral describes it as "gga-miR-7466-5p". The record is from miRBase by way of RNAcentral. Lineage: Eukaryota; Metazoa; Chordata; Aves; Galliformes; Phasianidae.
CUGGCCACUCUGGGAGGCUC